GGUUUUUUGAAAAUAAUUUAAAAUUUAACCUGCUCAAUGAAUAUUUAAAUAGCUGCAGUAUUUUGACUGUACAAAGGUAGCAUAAUCAAUAGUUUUUUAAUUAAAAGCUAGAAUGAAUGGUUUGAUGAAAUAAAAUCUUUUUUAAAUUUAAAUUUUAAAAUUUUUUUAUUAGUAAAAAAACUAAUAUAAUAUUAAAAGACGAGAAGACCCUAUAGAGUUUUAUAUAUUUAUUUUAUAAUUAAUAAAUUUAUUUUAAUAUUAAAUUAUAAUUAUAUAUUUAAUUGGGGUGAUUAUUAAAAGUUAAUAAACUUUAAUUUUUAAUAAACAAUAAUAAUUGAAUUUUUGAUCUUUAAUUUUGAAUUAAAAAAAUAAAUUACCUUAGGGAUAACAGUGUAAUUUUUUUAGAAAGAUCUAAUAGAUAAAAAAGAUUGC
This 432-nucleotide ribosomal RNA is filed under the name Rhimphoctona xoridiformis. RNAcentral's name for it is "partial 16S ribosomal RNA". Lineage: Eukaryota; Metazoa; Arthropoda; Insecta; Hymenoptera; Ichneumonidae. The record is from RNAcentral.